CUUGACAGGUUACUCUGAGUGAUUUCCGCUAAGGAGAUCUUUUGGCACCUCUAAAAAUGGUGCAGAAUAAGGGGUGGGCAAGUCUGGUGUCAGCCGCCGCGGUA
RNAcentral lists this ribosomal RNA (104 nucleotides) under uncultured crenarchaeote. RNAcentral's name for it is "partial 16S ribosomal RNA". It matches the Rfam family "Archaeal small subunit ribosomal RNA", at positions 366 to 472 of the family's 1478-position model. Lineage: Archaea; Thermoproteati; Thermoproteota. The record is from RNAcentral.